GAUGAAGAACGUAGCGAAAUGCGAUACGUAAUGUGAAUUGCAGAAUUCAGUGAAUCAUCAAAUCUUUGAACGCAUAUUGCGCUCUCUGGUAUUCCGGAGAGCAUGCUUGUUUGAGUAUCAGUAAACACCUCAACUCCCUUUUCUUUUUUGAAAUUGGAGCUGGACUUGAGUGAUCCCAACGCUUUCUUCCAAGAAAGUGGCGGGUUGCUUGAAAUGCAGGUGCAGCUGAACUUUUCUCUGAGCUAUAAGCAUAUCUAUUUAGUCUGCCUAAAAAACAGAUUAUUACCUUUGCUGCAGCUAACAUAAAGGAGACUAGUUCUUGUGCUGACUGAUGCAGGAUUCACAGAGACAGCUUCGGCUGACUUUGUAAACUCGAUCUCAAAUCAAGUAAGACUACCCGCUGAACUUAAGCAUAUCAAUAAGCGGAGGA
This 430-nucleotide unclassified non-coding RNA is filed under the name soil metagenome. Its description in RNAcentral is "partial contains 5.8S ribosomal RNA, internal transcribed spacer 2, and large subunit ribosomal RNA". The stretch from base 1 to 120 matches the Rfam family "5.8S ribosomal RNA", at positions 35 to 154 of the family's 154-position model. The record is from RNAcentral.